This 522-nucleotide ribosomal RNA is filed under the name [Candida] sp. VVT-2012. RNAcentral describes it as "eukaryotic LSU rRNA". The stretch from base 147 to 300 matches the Rfam family "5.8S ribosomal RNA". Lineage: Eukaryota; Fungi; Ascomycota; Saccharomycetes; Saccharomycetales. The record is from RNAcentral.
GCGGGACUUACUGAUGCUUAUUGCACCACAUGUGUUGUUCUUUGAAACAGACUUGCUUUGGCGGUGGGCCCAGCCUGCCGCCAGAGGUCUAAACUUACAACCAAUUUUUUAUCAGCUUGUCACACCAGAUUAUUACUAAUAGUCAAAACUUUCAACAACGGAUCUCUUGGUUCUCGCAUCGAUGAAGAACGCAGCGAAAUGCGAUACGUAAUAUGAAUUGCAGAUAUUCGUGAAUCAUCGAAUCUUUGAACGCACAUUGCGCCCUCUGGUAUUCCGGAGGGCAUGCCUGUUUGAGCGUCGUUUCUCCCUCAAACCGCUGGGUUUGGUGUUGAGCAAUACGACUUGGGUUUGCUUGAAAGACGGUAGUGGUAAGGCGGGAUCGCUUUGACAAUGGCUUAGGUCUAACCAAAAACAUUGCUUGCGGCGGUAACGUCCACCACGUAUAUCUUCAAACUUUGACCUCAAAUCAGGUAGGACUACCCGCUGAACUUAAGCAUAUCAAUAAGGAAAAGAAACCAACCA